CCUACGGGGGGCAGCAGUGGGGAAUAUUGGUCAAUGGACGAGAGUCUGAACCAGCCAAGUAGCGUGAAGGAUGACUGCCCUAUGGUUUGUAAACUUCUUUUAUAUGGGAAUAAAAUGUUCCACGUGUGGGAUUUUGUAUGUACCAUAUGAAUAAGGAUCGGCUAACUCCGUGCCAGCAGCCGCGGUAAUACGGAGGAUCCGAGCGUUAUCCGGAUUUAUUGGGUUUAAAGGGAGCGUAGGUGGAUUGUUAAGUCAGUUGUGAAAGUUUGCGGCUCAACCGUAAAAUUGCAGUUGAAACUGGCAGUCUUGAGUACAGUAGAGGUGGGCGGAAUUCGUGGUGUAGCGGUGAAAUGCUUAGAUAUCACGAAGAACUCCGAUUGCGAAGGCAGUUCACUGGACUGCAACUGACACUGAGGCUCGAAAGUGUGGGUAUCAAACAGGAUUAGAUACCCUUGUAGUC
This 460-nucleotide ribosomal RNA is filed under the name uncultured bacterium. RNAcentral describes it as "partial 16S ribosomal RNA". It matches the Rfam family "Bacterial small subunit ribosomal RNA", at positions 338 to 795 of the family's 1533-position model. The record is from RNAcentral.